Molecule: ribosomal RNA, 2898 nt
Filed under: human gut metagenome
Description: Bacterial large subunit ribosomal RNA
Rfam family: Bacterial large subunit ribosomal RNA
Source: RNAcentral
GUCAAGCGAAGAAGAGCGCAGGGUGGAUGCCUUGGCACUAAGAGCCGAAGAAAGACGCGAUAAGCUGCGAAAAGCCAUGGGGAGGAGCAAAUAUCCCGUGAUCCAUGGAUGUCUGAAUGGGGAAACCCACUGGAGGAGCCCUCCAGUAUCCAUACGCCAAUCCAUAACGUAUGGAGGGGAACCCGGCGAACUGAAACAUCUAAGUAGCCGGAGGAAAAGAAAGAAACGUCGAUUCCGGGAGUAGCGGCGAGCGAAACCGGAGGAGCCUAAACCUGGGUGCGUGCACCUGGGGGUUACGGACCGCGAUGAGUGAGGAGAACCUAUAGCAGAAUGGCUUUGGGAAAGCCAGCCAGAGAGGGUGAAAGCCCCGUAUGCGAAAUGGGUAUCCAGCGAGCGGGAUCCAAAGUACCACGAGACACGAGAAACCUUGUGGGAAGUCGGGGGGACCACCCCCCAAGGCUAAAUACUCCUUAGUGACCGAUAGCGCAUAGUACUGUGAAGGAAAGGUGAAAAGGACCCCGGGAGGGGAGUGAAAGAGAACCUGAAACCCUGCGUUUACAAGCUGUGGGAGUGCCAUAUGAGCACGACCGCGUACUUUUUGUAGAACGGUCCGGCGAGUUGCCGGUGCUGGCGAGGUUAAGCGCGAGGAGCGCGGAGCCGAAGGGAGACCAAGUCUUAAUAGGGCGUUGAGUCAGCACAGGCAGACCCGAAACCGGGUGAUCUAUCCAUGUCCAGGUUGAAGCGGGAGUAAAAUCCCGUGGAGGACCGAACCCACAUCCGUUGAAAAGGGUGGGGAUGAGGUGUGGAUAGGGGAGAAAUUCCAAUCGAACCCGGAGAUAGCUGGUUCUCCUCGAAAUAGCUUUAGGGCUAGCCUCGUGUUAGUCUCAUGGAGGUAGAGCACUGAAUUCCCGCGGGGGCGUCAAAGCUUACCAAAGGAUAUCAAACUCCGAAUGCCAUAGAGAUGUUACACGGGAGUCAGACUGCACGAGAUAAGUUGGGCAGUCAAAAGGGAAAGAGCCCAGACCUCCGGCUAAGGUCCCAAAGUGUGUGUUAAGUGGAAAAGGAUGUGAGGUUUCAAAGACAACUAGGAUGUUGGCUCAGAAGCAGCCAUACAUUGAAAGAGUGCGUAAUAGCUCACUAGUCGAGAGGCCNNNNNNNNNNNNNNNNUGCGCCGAAAAUGUCCGGGGCUGAAACACACCACCGAAGCCGAGGACCCUCUGAGAGGGUGGUAGAGGAGCAUUCUUGAGUGGAAGAAGCAGUACCGUAAGGAGCUGUGGACGAUCAAGAAGAGAGAAUGCCGGAAUGAGUAGCGAGAGGUAGGUGAGAAUCCUACCGGCCGAAUAUCUAAGGUUUCCAGGGUAAAGCUGAUCUGCCCUGGGUGAGUCGGGACCUAAGGCGAGGCUUAACGGCGUAGCCGAUGGACAACAGGUUGAGAUUCCUGUACUGCAGUAUGACAGAACUGUGGGGACACAGAGGGGAAGGAAGAGCCGGGAAUGAAAAGACCGGUGCAAGCGUAUGAGGAGUCAGAUAGGAAAAACCGUCUGAUGAUCCGAGGGCGUUACGCGGACCGAAAAUAAGUAGGGAAGCUUCCGUACCAGCUGUCAAGAAAAGCCGCUAUGGCUCAUACUGCACCCGUACCGUAAACCGACACAGGUGGAUGAGGAGAGAAUCCUAAGGCCGACGGGAGAAGCAUUGUUAAGGAACUCGGCAAAAUGACCCCGUAACUUCGGGAGAAGGGGUGCCUCGAGAGAGGCCGCAGAGAAUUGGCCCAAGCAACUGUUUAGCAAAAACACAGGUCUAUGCGAAACCGAAAGGUGAGGUAUAUGGGCUGACGCCUGCCCGGUGCUGGAAGGUUAAGGGGAGAUGUUAGCGAAUGCGAAGCAUUGAACUUAAGCCCCAGUAAACGGCGGCCGUAACUAUAACGGUCCUAAGGUAGCGAAAUUCCUUGUCGGGUAAGUUCCGACCCGCACGAAAGGCGUAAUGAUUUGGGCACUGUCUCAACAAUGCACCCGGUGAAAUUGAAGUACCAGUGAAGAUGCUGGUUACCUGCGCCAGGACGGAAAGACCCCAUGGAGCUUUACUCCAGCUUGGCACUGGGAUCCGGUAUUGCAUGUACAGGAUAGGUGGGAGGCGAAGAAGGGAGGACGCCAGUCCUUCUGGAGCCGCUGUUGGGAUACCACCCUUGCGAUAUUGGGUUUCUAACCAGCCGCCGUGAUCCGGCGGUGGGACAAUGCCAGGCGGGGAGUUUGACUGGGGCGGUCGCCUCCGAAAGAGUAUCGGAGGCGCCCAAAGGUUCCCUCAGGAUGGACGGAAACCAUCCGAAGAGUGCAAAGGCAUAAGGGAGCUUGACUGCGACACCGACGGGUGGAGCAGGUACGAAAGUAGGGCUUAGUGAUCCGGUGGUGUUAAGUGGGAACGCCAUCGCUCAACGGAUAAAAGCUACCCUGGGGAUAACAGGCUUAUCACUCCCAAGAGUUCACAUCGACGGAGUGGUUUGGCACCUCGAUGUCGGCUCAUCGCAUCCUGGGGCUGAAGUAGGUCCCAAGGGUUGGGCUGUUCGCCCAUUAAAGCGGUACGCGAGCUGGGUUCAGAACGUCGUGAGACAGUUCGGUCCCUAUCCGGCGCGGGCGAAAGAUAUUUGAGAGGAGCUGUCCUUAGUACGAGAGGACCGGGAUGGACUGACCUCUGGUGCACCGGUUGCGCAUCAAGCGCAUGGCCGGGUAGCCAAGUCGGGAAGGGAUAAACGCUGAAGGCAUCUAAGCGUGAAGCCCCCCUCAAGAUGAGAUAUCUCAUAGCGAUAGCUAGUAAGGCCCCUUGAAGACGACGAGGUAGAUAGGCUGGAGGUGGAAGUGCAGCAAUGUAUGGAGCUGACCAGUACUAAUCGGCCGAGGGCUUGUC